RNAcentral lists this transfer RNA (73 nucleotides) under Otolemur garnettii (small-eared galago). It matches the Rfam family "tRNA". Rfam says of the family: Transfer RNA (tRNA) molecules are approximately 80 nucleotides in length. The record is from Rfam by way of RNAcentral. Lineage: Eukaryota; Metazoa; Chordata; Mammalia; Primates; Galagidae.
GUGCCUGUAGCUCAGUGAGUAGGGCAUCAGCCUCAGAUACUGAGGGUGGCGGGUUCGAACCCCACCCUGGCCA